AGCGAACGCUGGCGGCAGGCCUAACACAUGCAAGUCGAACGAACCUUUCGGGGUUAGUGGCGGACGGGUGAGUAACACGUGGGAACGUGCCUUUAGGUUCGGAAUAACUCAGGGAAACUUGUGCUAAUACCGAAUGUGCCCUUCGGGGGAAAGAUUAAUCGCCUUUAGAGCGGCCCGCGUCUGAUUAGCUAGUUGGUUGAGGUAAUGGCUCACCAAGGCGACGAUCAGUAGCUGGUCGGAGAGGAUGAUCAGCCACAUUGGGACUGAGACACGGCCCAAACUCCUACGGGAGGCAGCAGUGGGGAAUCUUGCGCAAUGGGCGAAAGCCUGACGCAGCCACGCCGCGUGAAUGAUGAAGGUCUUAGGAUUGUAAAAUUCUUUCACCGGGGACGAUAAUGACGGUACCCGGAGAAGAAGCCCCGGCUAACUUCGUG
This 434-nucleotide ribosomal RNA is filed under the name uncultured bacterium. RNAcentral's name for it is "partial 16S ribosomal RNA". It matches the Rfam family "Bacterial small subunit ribosomal RNA", at positions 29 to 507 of the family's 1533-position model. The record is from RNAcentral.